CCUCUUCGCGAUGAUGAAGUCAUCGCCUACCUCUUGGCUGGCCUCAGCUCGGACUAAGAUCUGUUCGUUACGUCCAUGACCACCAAGAGUGAAGCACUCACCCUCGAUGAUGUGUAUUCGCAUCUGAUGUCCUUUGAGG
Phragmites australis (common reed) is the source of this 139-nucleotide small nucleolar RNA. RefSeq annotates it as small nucleolar RNA Z247. The transcript has a single exon. The record is from RefSeq and is a predicted model, not a curated record. Lineage: Eukaryota; Viridiplantae; Streptophyta; Magnoliopsida; Poales; Poaceae.